RNAcentral lists this ribosomal RNA (154 nucleotides) under uncultured Actinomycetes bacterium. RNAcentral describes it as "uncultured actinobacterium partial 16S ribosomal RNA". It matches the Rfam family "Bacterial small subunit ribosomal RNA", at positions 1382 to 1533 of the family's 1533-position model. Lineage: Bacteria; Bacillati; Actinomycetota; Actinomycetes. The record is from RNAcentral.
UGCACACACCGCCCGUCACACCAUGGGAGUCGGAAAUGCCCGAAGCCGGUGCCUCAGCCGUAAGGAGAGAGCCGUCGAAGGCAGGUUCGAUAACUGGGGUGAAGCCGUAACAAGGUAGCCGUAGGGGAACCUGCGGCUGGAUCACCUCCUUUCU